UCGCACCUACCGAUUGAAUGGUCCGGUGAAACUUUCGGAUCGCGGCUGGGUGGGUCCUUGCGGCCCUCCAGUCGUGAAAAGUCAGUUAAACCUUAUCAUUUAGAGGAAGGUGAAGUCGUAACAAGGUCUCCGUAGGUGAACCUGCAGAAGGAUCA
This 155-nucleotide ribosomal RNA is filed under the name uncultured eukaryote. RNAcentral describes it as "partial small subunit ribosomal RNA". It matches the Rfam family "Eukaryotic small subunit ribosomal RNA", at positions 1676 to 1828 of the family's 1831-position model. The record is from RNAcentral.